UUUUUUUUUGUGCAGCCAUAUGGUUGGUUUCAAGGGUGUGAUUUAUUUUAUUUUAAUAUGUAUGAAUAAAAAGUUGGAGAGGGUUACGAAAUAUGAUGUUAAACUAUUUUCUUUUCUCAUAACUUACUAGUAUUAUGUAAAAUCAUGAGACUGGUCUCUUCUUAUUCUUUGCUACAGUGCACACUGAAGCAUAUUAUGCCCAACAUUGGUUGACUUAUUUGAUUCUCCUGUAGGUCUCUGAAAAAUGUGGAGGGUUGGGGGAUCAUCCACUGAAAUUUUUUUUUACAUCCGAGCAAAUGGUUUUAUAUACUGUAGAGCCUCAAGAAUCAUUGGUGCUGGAAGAUUACUUAGAGUCCAUAGAUCUAUAAUUUUCAAAUACAUGUUGAACUUUGAAUUCACAGUAACUUCUAAAUGACCAUCAGAUGCAUUGCCUAAUGACCCCAAACAUCUAUAAAAUAUCAACAAAAUACCCUGUCUGUAUCUCUGAAUUAAAUGGUGUAUUGAUUUAUUUUUCUGUGAUAGGUUUUCACCAUUUUAGGUUAGAUUCAUUAAAAUAAAAAUCUAAUUCCUCACAGAUCAUUUGUUUGAUUGGUUUGCAUUUUUGCAGUUUUGAUUCAUCAAAUAAUUUAGCAGUAACCAGUUCCAAUUUCAUUUCAGUUAAUUUAUUUUACUCAACAACAAAAAAAAAUCUCCAAAUUCCACUAAUAGGGCAGGCUGUAAGUUCAACAUCUUCAGAGGUUCUGUGAUGGUUUCAUUGAGGAAAGUUUGAUAUACUGAAUUUUGGUGACAAAUGUAUUUUUUUCUGCUAAAUUUCUCAGUGCCCUAUUGCCCUUGGACACAGAUAGUUGCAGCUUUUGACUGCAUUAAUGUCUGUUUUUUUCCUGUUUAUGUAUUAUUACUG
Molecule: long non-coding RNA, 901 nt
Organism: Carassius carassius (crucian carp)
Lineage: Eukaryota; Metazoa; Chordata; Actinopteri; Cypriniformes; Cyprinidae
Exons: 3
Source: RefSeq, a predicted model, not a curated record